UCCAGGCCUUAGUGCUUAGUCACGCAGUGUGACAACAUCAGCCUUGAUCCUUGUCUUCAUUUGUGAUCCCAGCCAAAGGAAGAGCCCUUAUCUAAGGCAGUCGCCUCUUGGCAAAUCACUCUUGGAAGAGUUAUUACAAAACAAUGGGUCUUAAAUCAUCUAUUCCAAAAUAGCACAGGCCACUGCUUAUUUCAUUGGCCAAAACAUGUUAAACAGCCCAUACCAGUAUCAAUGCUGUAAUGAAUAAUACCCUCCAGCAGAGACAGGCCAUCAGGGUGGUCUGAGAUGAACGAGACUGGAGCAGGAGAGCCUGAUCAUCUUAAAUAAACACAGUAAUCCACCACAGCUCCUGCUUUCCGACCUGCUUGAGUUCCAGUCCUGACUUCUUUGGUGAUAAACAGAAAUGUGGAAGUCCCACUCACAGGACACACUGAAGCCCUGAGAUGCACUGUGUGAAUCGUCCCAGCCCUUCUGAUGUGAGAUCAGAUUUCCAUUCUGUCCUGGUCAUGGAACGAAACCAACCCACAAAUAUGUGCAGCUCUUGAUCUUCUCUUGAUCUGCUGCUAUCAAGCCACCUAGAAUGAGGGGCAUUGCAUCCAAAGGCUGAGUGAGCUGAAAGGUCCACAACCUGCUCACUGCCUCUGAAACUCUAUGAGAUGACAGCACUGAGAAGAGCCACCGUGUGGAGCACGGACACUUUGGACCAUUUAAUAAUAUAUGCACAUCUAAAUGGCUGGCGAGUUCCCUUUCUUCCUCAGUCCAGAACACCCGGAACUGAGCCAUCCCCUCCUUAGCCCUUCACAUCUCUAUCCUAAAGCUGCCCUGGUGCACAUGCAAAGACCUGUGCUUGCUGCAGGGUGACCUGGAGCUGCAGGGAGAUUAUAUAAAGAGAAAAUCUGAUAGAUGCAGCUUUAAGCCCAUUUCUGUUGGUGAAGGAGACAGUUCAGUGAAUAAAGGUGACCUGUGUAA
Molecule: long non-coding RNA, 969 nt
Organism: Rattus norvegicus (Norway rat)
Lineage: Eukaryota; Metazoa; Chordata; Mammalia; Rodentia; Muridae
Source: RefSeq, a predicted model, not a curated record